ACUCCUACGGGGAGGCAGCAGUGGGGGAAUAUUGCACAAUGGGGGAAAACCCUGAUGCAGCCAUGCCGCGUGUGUGAAGAAGGCCUUCGGGUUGUAAAGCACUUCAGUAGGGAGGAAGGUAGUGUAGUUAACACCUGCAUUAUUUGACGUUACCUACAGAAGAAGCACCGGCUAACUCCGUGCCAGCAGCCGCGGUAAUACGGAGGGGUGCGAGCGUUAAUCGGAAUUACUGGGCGUAAAGCGCAUGCAGGCGGCCUGUUAAGUCAGAUGUGAAAGCCCGGGGGCUUAACCUCGGAAUUGCAUUUGAAACUGGCAGGCUAGAGCUUGUAGAGGGGGUAGAAUUUCAGGUGUAGC
RNAcentral lists this ribosomal RNA (354 nucleotides) under uncultured bacterium. Its description in RNAcentral is "bacterial SSU rRNA". It matches the Rfam family "Bacterial small subunit ribosomal RNA", at positions 335 to 679 of the family's 1533-position model. The record is from RNAcentral.